Molecule: unclassified non-coding RNA, 2264 nt
Filed under: Hevea brasiliensis (rubber tree)
Lineage: Eukaryota; Viridiplantae; Streptophyta; Magnoliopsida; Malpighiales; Euphorbiaceae
Source: RNAcentral
AUUACUUUCAAAUUUAACAUCUGAUAAUUUUAAAGAUAAUUCUAAUUAAAGAUGAUUCACAUUUACUAUAAAUUUUACAUCCACAAAAAACUUGUAAAAAAAUGAGUGCGCGCCAGAAUGAAGAUUUUUUUUCUUAGUUCAAAACCUUAGGAAGAAGAAAAACUAAGCUUAGACAAGAUAAUGUGUGGAUAAAAUGAGAUGAGUUGGGAGAUACUUAAAAUCCUUUAUUGCUUCCUGAUUGGUUGAUUGAAACCCCAAAGAUCCCCACCACCACUUCCAUCCCUUGCAUUCUUAGCCACCCAUUUUUCUGAUUCUCAUUUCCUUGGCAUAUAAACUCAGCACUUCCCUUUCUACACUCUUCCAGGCUGCAAUUCUCUACCCUUCAAGAGAUACGAACAAGUUGCAACUGAGAGUACAUUGGAAAGGCUUCCAAGGAAAUGGCAUCAAUUGCUGGCUCCAGUACUAUGCUUAGGCCAACCCCCUUUCUUGGCCAAAAGGGGUCAAGUGCUAAUCCUCUUAAAGAUGUUGUCUCUAUGGGAAAUGGCAAAUAUAUCAUGGGGAAUGAGUUGUGGUAUGGACCAGACAGGUUGAAGUACUUAGGACCCUUUUCAGCUCAGACUCCAUCAUACCUGACUGGAGAAUUUCCAGGUGACUAUGGAUGGGACACUGCUGGUUUGUCAGCUGAUCCUGAGGCCUUCGCCAGGAACAGGGCUCUUGAGGUAAUUGAUUGGCUACCUCAAAACAUCUUAUAUUGAAUCUUAAAUUGUCAUUAGCUGCUUCUAUUGAGCCUAAUGAUCGGCUACCUCAAAACAUCAAAUACGCAACAUAAAUAAUUAAUUAGAUUGUAAUGUGAAUUGUGAUUUGUGGCCAAGGGGCGUCCCAGCAAUAAAAGCUUGAAAGUCCUAUCUAGAUAUUUAAGGGCGGAUUGGCUCUCUAUGGACCAAAAAGAAGGAUCUUUAACGAACAACUGUGAUAAAGACUAUUAACUACGUUUGUUGAAAGCAACAUUUUAUGUGUCAAAUCGAUAUCGGCCUCAAAAUUAUUAGAUUUGAGUAAUAAAAUUACUGCCUCCUUAAUGGAGGCUGAAAGAAAAUUUCCGUUGGUUCAAUAACACACUCCUUUGUACACUAUUAUCAUGUUGCGUGAUGGAUUACAAUGUGAAAUUAAGAUGUGAAAAAGUAAUUAUUGUGCAAUUUUUUUUAGGUGAUCCACGGAAGAUGGGCUAUGCUUGGAGCACUAGGCUGCAUCACACCAGAAGUACUAGAGAAAUGGGUUAGAGUGGACUUCAAGGAACCAGUAUGGUUCAAAGCUGGAGCUCAGAUCUUCUCAGAGGGUGGCUUGGACUACUUGGGCAAUCCUAACCUUGUCCAUGCACAAAGCAUCCUAGCAGUGCUUGGAUUCCAAGUAGUCCUUAUGGGACUUGUCGAGGGAUUCCGCAUCAAUGGCCUCCCUGGAGUAGGAGAGGGCAAUGACCUUUACCCUGGUGGCCAGUACUUUGACCCUCUAGGCCUUGCAGAUGAUCCUGUUACAUUUGCAGAGCUCAAGGUGAAGGAGAUAAAGAAUGGCAGGCUAGCCAUGUUCUCCAUGUUUGGUUUCUUUGUUCAAGCUAUUGUAACUGGAAAGGGUCCCCUGGAGAACCUCUUGGACCACCUUGACAACCCUGUUGCCAACAAUGCUUGGGUCUAUGCCACUAAGUUUGUCCCUGGAUCAUAAAUUGAUUUGGAGUGGAGAGUCUGCCUAGGGUGUCAUGGUUCCUGUACUUACAAUUUUAAAAACUUGACCAUCGUUUGAGUUCCAAUGUAAAUUUUAAUUUGAAGGUGUUGCUCGUCUUCUUUACCAUGAUAUCUGUCUUCCUGAUUAGAUAGCAUUCUAUGAUUCUGUAUUUACCUGAAAAAAGAGUGAGAAGGCUUUAUCAACCCCAAGCUUUUACUAGGUAGCAAAGACCACCAUCCAUCAGGGGAGCGGGCCGGGAGGGAGGGGCCAAUUACUCGACUAUCAUUGGCAAGAAAACAUGAUAUGAAAUUGGUGCUACCAAAACGCUAUCAUGGGAUAGGUAAUGUUCUGCUGAAGAUAAAGAAAAUAUCUAGAAGACAACAUAUCUGGAAUCAUUAUAUGGCAUCAAUUUUAACAUUGCUACAAUCGUUCUCCAAACCGUAUGCUUGGUACUACAAUUUCAUUUCACAUUUGGAUGCUUGGUGGACUACCAAGUAUGUCUCAUUACAUCUAUGACAACAGAAUAUAUACAAAUUGCCUAGCCUAGUAUG